This 494-nucleotide ribosomal RNA is filed under the name uncultured bacterium. Its description in RNAcentral is "partial 16S ribosomal RNA". It matches the Rfam family "Bacterial small subunit ribosomal RNA", at positions 899 to 1397 of the family's 1533-position model. The record is from RNAcentral.
ACUCAAAUGAAUUGACGGGGACCCGCACAAGCGGUGGAUGAUGUGGUUUAAUUCGAUGCAACGCGAAAAACCUUACCUACCCUUGACAUGCCAGGAACCUUGCAGAGAUGCGAGGGUGCCCGAAAGGGAGCCUGGACACAGGUGCUGCAUGGCCGUCGUCAGCUCGUGUCGUGAGAUGUUGGGUUAAGUCCCGCAACGAGCGCAACCCUUGCCAUUAGUUGCUACGAAAGGGCACUCUAAUGGGACUGCCGGUGACAAACCGGAGGAAGGUGGGGAUGACGUCAGGUCCUCAUGGCCCUUAUGGGUAGGGCUACACACGUCAUACAAUGGCCGGUACAGAGGGCUGCCAAAGCGCGAGCUGGAGCCAAUCCCAGAAAACCGGUCGUAGUCCGGAUCGCAGUCUGCAACUCGACUGCGUGAAGUCGGAAUCGCUAGUAAUCGCGGAUCAGAAUGUCGCGGUGAAUACGUUCCCGGGUCUUGCACACACCGCCCGU